GGCAGCAGAGAACUGGAAGGAAAGGCGGCCAAAGAAGGAAUUGGCUUUGGGGUGACCAGUGAAAUAUACCUGCUGGAGCGCGUGCUACAGGACAAGUUUUAGCUGUGUAACAGGGCCUCUCUGGAGUACCUGGGCAGUUUUGACCACUAUGCAACAUAACCAUUCUGUGCUGAACAGCCUCUGGUUCUGAGUUUCCCAUCUCAUCAACCCAACCACCUGUCAUGUCACCUGACCUGCCACAGCUACCCUAUCACAGAGGAGGAGGGAGGUGCUACUGUCAUCAAGCAGCAAGUUCAACCAAUCACAGAGGCUGGCCGCUGCUGGUGGAGACGUCAGGUGCAGGAGAGCAGAGAGUUGUGAACAGGCGCACACUAUCUUCGUGUAAACACGGAACAAACCAGCGUAACACAAAACAAUCCUACACAAAGACAUUAUGGGGAACAGAGGAAUAAAUACAUAUGAUGACUGGGGGAUGAAAACCAGGUGUGCAGGGAACAAGGCAAAACAAAUGGAUACAUGAACAAUGGAGCGGCGAUGGCUAGAAAGCCUGUGACGUCGACCGCCGAACACCGCCCUCAGGAGGCUGAAGAAAUUUGGCUUGUCACCAAAAGCACUCACAAACUUCUACAGAUGCACAAUCGAGAGCAUCCUGGCGGGCUGUAUCACCACCUGGUACGGCAACUGCUCCGCCCUCAACCGUAAGGCUCUGAAGAGGGUAGUGAGGUCUGCACAACGCAUCACCGGGGGCAAACUACCUGCCCUCCAGGACAUCUACACCACCCGAUGUUACAGGAAGGCCAUAAAGAUCAUCAAGGACAUCAACCACCCGAGCCACUGCCUGUUCACCCCGCUAUCAUCCAGAAGGCGAGGUCAGUACAGGUGCAUCAAAGCUGGGACCGAGAGACUGAAAAACAGCUUCUAUCUCAAGGCCAUCAGACUGUUAAACAGCCACCACUAACAUUGAGUGGCUGCUGCCAACACACUGACACUGACUCAACUCCAGCCACUUUAAUAAUGGGAAUUGAUGGGAAAUGUAAAUAUAUCACUAGCCACUUUAAACAAUGCUACCUUAUAUAAUGUUACUGACCCUACAUUAUUCAUCUCAUAUGCAUACGUAUAUACUGUACUCUAUAUCAUCGACUGCAUCCUUAUGUAAUACAUGUAUCACUAGCCACUAACUAUGCCACUUUGUUUACAUACUCAUCUCAUAUGUAUAUACUGUACUCGAUACCAUCUACUGUAUCUUGCCUAUGCUGCUCUGUACCAUCACUCAU
Molecule: long non-coding RNA, 1274 nt
Organism: Oncorhynchus masou masou (cherry salmon)
Lineage: Eukaryota; Metazoa; Chordata; Actinopteri; Salmoniformes; Salmonidae
Exons: 3
Source: RefSeq, a predicted model, not a curated record